Molecule: ribosomal RNA, 481 nt
Filed under: uncultured bacterium
Lineage: Bacteria
Description: partial 16S ribosomal RNA
Rfam family: Bacterial small subunit ribosomal RNA
Source: RNAcentral
GACGAACGCUGGCGGCGUGCUUAACACAUGCAAGUCGAACGGUGAAGUAGAGCUUGCUCUAUGGAUCAGUGGCGAACGGGUGAGUAACACGUGGGCAACCUGCCCCAGACUCUGGAUAACUCCUCGAAAGAGGGGCUAAUACCGGAUAUUUGCAUUGCAAGACAUCUUGUGAUGCAGGAAGAAUUUCGGUCUGGGAUGGGCCCGCGGCCUAUCAGCUUGUUGGUGAGGUAACGGCUCACCAAGGUGACGACGGGUAGCCGGCCUGAGAGGGCGACCGGCCACACUGGGACUGAGACACGGCCCAGACUCCUACGGGAGGCAGCAGUGGGGAAUAUUGGGCAAUGGGCGCAAGCCUGACCCAGCAACGCCGCGUGAGGGAUGAAGGUCCUCGGAUUGUAAACCUCUUUCAGCAGGGACGAAGCGAAAGUGACGGUACCUGCAGAAGAAGCACCGGCUAACUACGUGCCAGCCGCCGCCGUAA